GAUGAACGCUGGCGGCGUGCCUAAUACAUGCAAGUCGAGCGAACAGAUAAGGAGCUUGCUCCUUUGACGUUAGCGGCGGACGGGUGAGUAACACGUGGGUAACCUACCUAUAAGACUGGGAUAACUUCGGGAAACCGGAGCUAAUACCGGAUAACAUUUGGAACCGCAUGGUUCUAAAGUGAAAGAUGGUUUUGCUAUCACUUAUAGAUGGACCCGCGCCGUAUUAGCUAGUUGGUAAGGUAACGGCUUACCAAGGCGACGAUACGUAGCCGACCUGAGAGGGUGAUCGGCCACACUGGAACUGAGACACAGUCCAGACUCCUACGGGAGGCAGCAGUAGGGAAUCUUCCGCAAUGGGCGAAAGCCUGACGGAGCAACGCCGCGUGAGUGAUGAAGGGUUUCGGCUCGUAAAACUCUGUUAUUAGGGAAGAACAAAUGUGUAAGUAACUGUGCACGUCUUGACGGUACCUAAUCAGAAAGCCACGGCUAACUACGUG
RNAcentral lists this ribosomal RNA (497 nucleotides) under uncultured bacterium. RNAcentral describes it as "partial 16S ribosomal RNA". It matches the Rfam family "Bacterial small subunit ribosomal RNA", at positions 28 to 507 of the family's 1533-position model. The record is from RNAcentral.